AUGUGUAUCCCGAAGAAGAAUGGGGGUAUGGGGUUCCGUGAUCCCCAUGCUUUCAAUUUGGCAAUGUUAGCAAAACAAGCAUGGAGGUUAAUCACAAACCCCAAUACUUUGUGUGCGAGAGUACUGAAAGCUAAGUACUUUCCCAAUGGAGAUUUAUUGCCAGCAGGUCCAAAAAAGGGUUCCUCCUUUACUUGGUAGAGUAUUGUUGUAGGGAUACAAACUUUUAAAAGAGGUCAUAUUUGGAGAGUCGGCACUGGGGAGAACAUUAAAAUAUGGGAGGAUCAUUGGAUCCCCUCAAGUCCAUCGAGGAAAGUCAUAACACCAAGGAAUAAUAUUGUUCUAAGUAAUGUUGAUCAACUUAUCAACCCUAUCACCGGCAGAUCGGAUGAGGAGUUGAUUUUGGAUAUUUUCAGUCCGGUCGACUCAGUAAGAAUCUUGCAAAUCCCUGUUAUACCUAGUACAGUUGAUGAUUUUGUAGCUUGGCAGAUGACAAGAAAUGGAGCUUUCUUAGUUCAGCCUGCGUAUUAUACUGAAUGGAACCAUCAAUUUAGCGAUAAGAUAUGCAGGCUGGAUGAUCAGAGUGGAUCAAGUCUGAACCCUGUUUGGGAGGUGGUGUGGAAAUUGCAAAUUCCUAGUAAAGUAAAAAAAAUCUUGUGGCGCGCACUUUAUGGUACAAUUCCAGGGCUGUCCGUUCUUGCAAAUCGCCACAUAAAAACCACAAGUCAGUGUCCUAUCUAUCGGAGGGGUGCGGAAGAUAUUCAACAUCUAAUGUUCACUUGCAAACGUGCAAAGGAAGUGUGGAAAUCACUCGGUUUAUUUGAAAUGAUAACUUCAACGUUGCGGCUUGAUAAGUCAGGCUCUGAAAAUCUUGCACAAAUUUUGACUGAUCCAAGUAAUCGGUAUCUGGCAUUUGGUCAAAUUGGUUUGAAGGAAAUUAUUGCUGUAGGUGCGUGGUACAUUUGGUGGCAGAGAAGAGAGGCUGUAAAAGGAGUGAAAGUUGCCCCGGCCAUGAAUACAACAUUUGCAAUAUAG
RNAcentral lists this ribosomal RNA (1032 nucleotides) under Triticum aestivum (bread wheat). Its description in RNAcentral is "partial small subunit ribosomal RNA". Lineage: Eukaryota; Viridiplantae; Streptophyta; Magnoliopsida; Poales; Poaceae. The record is from RNAcentral.